This 28-nucleotide small RNA is filed under the name Bombyx mori (domestic silkworm). RNAcentral's name for it is "ovarian small RNA-27481". Lineage: Eukaryota; Metazoa; Arthropoda; Insecta; Lepidoptera; Bombycidae. The record is from RNAcentral.
UCCGAUAUGGUCUAGUGGCAAGGAUACC